Dalotia coriaria is the source of this 530-nucleotide long non-coding RNA. RefSeq lists it as uncharacterized. The transcript is spliced from 2 exons. Lineage: Eukaryota; Metazoa; Arthropoda; Insecta; Coleoptera; Staphylinidae. The record is from RefSeq and is a predicted model, not a curated record.
GCUAACGAACGAAGCGGGCUGGCAUCGUUAAUAUAAUCCCACAGUUGGCAGGAAAAACGCAAGGAAUAAUCCAAACGGCACACUGCACACACAGACACUGCAAACAAAACAGUGAAAAAUUGUUAAUAAUAGUGUGACAAAUCGUCAAAUGACAUAUGACAAAAGCUGCGAGAUUAUUUCGUGGUUAUUCAACUCACAGUAGCCAAGAACAGGUAGAAUUCACUUUGCCGACCCAGAAAAUUCUCCCCGCGGAAGCUUUUUGUUUGUCUUCUAAAUGAAGCGCAACCGAGCCCUAAUAACUCUUCAUCAGCAAUCACCGGCAGCGUGGGAUUCGCGCAAAAACAGGACAGGGCAGUGAGGUUAAGCAGGAUGCUUAGCAGAGAGAAGAAGAAAAAUGAAUUACGAGCGACACUCGACUCGGAUCGGCGCAUUAAUUUCGGACCGGCUGGCCGACCGUCCGUCGACGGCGAGUUUUUAUCUUAAACUCGACGUAAUUGCGGAAUAAAUCAAACAUUUUUAUUUACAUCAUA